Molecule: long non-coding RNA, 1706 nt
Organism: Panthera uncia (snow leopard)
Lineage: Eukaryota; Metazoa; Chordata; Mammalia; Carnivora; Felidae
Exons: 3
Source: RefSeq, a predicted model, not a curated record
UGCCCUUAGGAAAGGUUGCAUCAAUUUAUUCUCUCACGGGCUGGGUGGAAAGGGGUCCACUGACAGGAAUUCGUUGUUAAACUGCAGUGUCUGGGUACCCAGAAUAUGCUAUGCUUUGAACGCGCUGCCCCCGGGAGAGUUGAUUUGGGCCCGCCAAAUCCGUAAGUGCCAACUGUCCAGCCCUAACCGGGCCUGUGGCCGAGGAGCACUGUCUGUUCUCUGACACCCUCCCCCCAGAGCCUGGGCCUCCAGAGAGGCCUGCUUCCCCUGGGGACUGGCCAAUGCCUCUGACUCAGCCCUUUUGCACCGCUGGUGUCCUGGGAAUAAUAAGCAACAACAAACUCUUAUACAGCGCUUUCUUGGUGUGAGCCACUGUCCCAGCCCCUUACUAAUAGCGACUCCUUUAAUUUUCGUGGCAACCUUAGAAAGCAGGGACUCUCAUUAUUACCAUUUUGUGGAUGGGGAACGGAAGUUCAGAGAGGUUAAGUGAUAUGCCCAAGGUCACACAGCUUGGAGUGCUGGAGCAAAGAUGCCUCGUGGUAUCUUAAAAUGUACUGUUUGGCAAAUGCUGAUUUAGUUCAACUCCUCCUAAGACCUAAGGCCAACAGUAAAACUGAAGCCCAAGACGUGGGAGGAUUUGCCCAAGGCCGCAUAAUCAGAAGAAAAUCCAGCCAUUCUGACUCGGAACUGUCUCAGCAGGCCUGGCUUUGAAUUUCAGAUGUUGCCAUGGAGGACCAGGGGAUCUCAGGCUGGGAUGUGGCGGCAAGGACCCCGGGCCCGGCGUCCUGGGCAGGCCUAGACUCUUCCUGCUGCUGACUCAUGGCGUGACCUCGGACAAGUUCUGCUUGGGCCUCAGCCUCCUCAGCUGGGAAAUGGGAGCAGACAGCCCUGCUUCUCAGGGCCGGAGUGAGGAUUACUUGGAAGAAGGAAUCUAAGAGUCUUAGUCCAGUUUUUGGUACCUAGUAGGUGCUCAAUAAAUCAUCAAAUCUCUUCUGGCCUCCCAAUUCCCAAGACAGCCUGAGUUUGAAUCCGGGCGGCCUUGGACAAGUUACUUUCAGCUUUCUGUGCCUCAGUUUCCUCAUCUGUGAAAAGAGGAGACAAACAGGCCCCACCUCCUCUGGUUGCCUUCACUGAGAUGCAGGUAAAGGGCGGAGUGCGGUGCCUAGCGGAGAGUAAAUGCUCAAUCAAGGUCCCAAUUAGUAUCCUCAUAGUGACUGUCAGGCCUCAGCGCCCUUAUCUGGAACAAGGGGCCCCAUUCCUCUUGAAACCUGCGCUGAUCAUUUGCUCUAUCAUAGCAUAGCACUUGACACACUCUUCUAGACUGUGCUGUGACACUGUGCCCCAUCUCGUCCUUGUCUUUGUAUUUCUUCUCUAUCUGUUUGACUUACCCUUUCUAUUAAUUUUUUUCUCUGUCAAAACCUGUGACGUGGUUUCUACUUCCCUGACUGUGCUCUGACUGGUAGAUUCAGCCCUCAAAGGCCCCAGCCACUGGGUCAGGUUAAGGUGUCUCCUGGAAGCCAGGGAGAGGACAGCUUUUCCACAAAGAUAACUUCUGCUGCCUGCAUUCCUGAGCCCUGAAGUCACCUGUGUCACGCUGUCACAGCUCACCCUCUAAGGGAACAAACAUUCUCUUGGCCAUUCCCGGGGCUGAGGCCUACACCCUUCUCCCGGGUUCUCUCUCACUCCUGCCCCUCACUCACCAGACA